RNAcentral lists this ribosomal RNA (251 nucleotides) under uncultured prokaryote. RNAcentral describes it as "partial 16S rRNA". It matches the Rfam family "Bacterial small subunit ribosomal RNA", at positions 525 to 775 of the family's 1533-position model. The record is from RNAcentral.
ACGGAGGGUGCAAGCGUUAAUCGGAAUAACUGGGCGUAAAGCGCACGCAGGCGGUUUGAUAAGUCAGAUGUGAAAUCCCCGGGCUCAACCUGGGAACUGCAUUUGAAACUGUCUGACUAGAGGCUUGUAGAGGGGGGUGGAAUUCCAGGUGUAGGGGUGAAAUGCGUAGAUAUUUGGAGGAAUACCGGUGGCGAAGGCGGCCCCCUGGAACAAGACUGACGGUCAGGAGCGAAAGCGUGGGGAGCAAACAG